GACGAACGCUGGCGGCGUGCUUAACACAUGCAAGUCGAACGGAAAGGCCCUGCUUGCAGGGUACUCGAGUGGCGAACGGGUGAGUAACACGUGGGUGAUCUGCCCUGCACUUCGGGAUAAGCCUUGGAAACUGGGUCUAAUACCGGAGAGGAGCCAUUUUUAGUGUGAUGGUUGGAAAGUUUGUUCGGUGUAGGAUGAGCUCGCGGCCUAUCAGCUUGUUGGUGGGGUAGUGGCCUACCAAGGCGGCGACGGGUAGCCGGCCUGGGGGGGUGGACGGCCACAGUGGGACUGAGAGACGGCCCAGACUCCGACGGGAGGGAGAAGGGGGGAAGAUUGCACAAGGGGCGCAAGCCUGAUGCAGCGACGCCGCGGGGGGGAGGACGGCCUUCGGGUUGGAAACGCCUUUCGCUAGGGACGAAGCUUUUUGUGACGGUACCUAGAUAAGAAGCACCGGCUAACUACGUG
Molecule: ribosomal RNA, 465 nt
Filed under: uncultured bacterium
Lineage: Bacteria
Description: partial 16S ribosomal RNA
Rfam family: Bacterial small subunit ribosomal RNA
Source: RNAcentral